This is a non-coding RNA of Brugia malayi, 89 nucleotides long. The record is from RefSeq and is a predicted model, not a curated record. NCBI's taxonomy places the organism in Eukaryota, Metazoa, Nematoda, Chromadorea, Rhabditida, Onchocercidae.
CUCUCUCUCUCUCUCUUUCUUUUAGAGGCAGAAGUUAGAGGGAAGGCGGAGUUUGACAGAUGAACAGAGAGAAGGAGAGAGAGAGAGAG